Molecule: ribosomal RNA, 460 nt
Filed under: uncultured bacterium
Lineage: Bacteria
Description: bacterial SSU rRNA
Rfam family: Bacterial small subunit ribosomal RNA
Source: RNAcentral
AGCGAACGCUGGCGGCAGGCCUAAUACAUGCAAGUCGAGCGGUCCCUUCGGGGGCAGCGGCGGACGGGUGAGUAACGCGUGGGAACGUGCCCUUUGGUACGGAACAACUGAGGGAAACUUCAGCUAAUACCGUAUGUGCCCUUCGGGGGAAAGAUUUAUCGCCAUUGGAGCGGCCCGCGUUGGAUUAGGUAGUUGGUGAGGUAAAGGCUCACCAAGCCUACGAUCCAUAGCUGGUCUGAGAGGAUGAUCAGCCACACUGGGACUGAGACACGGCCCAGACUCCUACGGGAGGCAGCAGUGGGGAAUUUUGGACAAUGGGGGAAACCCUGAUCCAGCAAUGCCGCGUGUGUGACGAAGGCCUUAGGGUUGUAAAGCACUUUCGGCUGUGAAGAUAAUGACAGUAGCAGAAGAAGAAGCUCCGGCUAAAUUCGUGCCAGCAGCCGCGGUAAGCAUACUCGUA